Molecule: ribosomal RNA, 346 nt
Filed under: uncultured bacterium
Lineage: Bacteria
Description: partial 16S ribosomal RNA
Rfam family: Bacterial small subunit ribosomal RNA
Source: RNAcentral
CCUACGGGAGGCAGCAGUGGGGAAUAUUGCGCAAUGGGCGAAAGCCGGACGCAGCGACGCCGCGUGAGGGAUGAAGGUCUGCGGAUCGUAAACCUCUGUCAGCAGGGAAGAACGGUCACGGUGCUAAUCAGCAGUGAAUGGACGGUACCGGCAAAGGAAGCACCGGCGAACGCCGUGCCAGCAGCCGCGGUAAGACGGAGGGAGCGAGCGUUAAUCGGAAUUACGGGGCGGAAAGCGCUCGUAGGCGGUAUGUCAAGUCAAGGGUGAAAUCCCCGCGCUCAACGUGGGAACUGCCUUUGAAACUGGCACACUGGCGUGUGUGCGCGGCUAGUGGUCUUCCAGGUGU